GGAGAGAUGGCAGAGUGGUUGAAUGCACCGGUCUUGAAAACCGGCAUAGGUGCGAGCCUAUCCAGGGUUCGAAUCCCUGUCUCUCCG
The sequence is a transfer RNA, 87 nucleotides long. It matches the Rfam family "tRNA". From Rfam's summary of the family: Transfer RNA (tRNA) molecules are approximately 80 nucleotides in length. Their secondary structure includes four short double-helical elements and three loops (D, anti-codon, and T loops).